Molecule: ribosomal RNA, 253 nt
Filed under: uncultured bacterium
Lineage: Bacteria
Description: partial 16S ribosomal RNA
Rfam family: Bacterial small subunit ribosomal RNA
Source: RNAcentral
UACGUAUGGAGCAAGCGUUAUCCGGAUUUACUGGGUGUAAAGGGAGCGCAGGCGGUCUGGCAAGUCUGAUGUGAAAGGCCGGGGCUCAACUCCGGGACUGCAUUGGAAACUGUCAGACUGGAGUGUUGGAGAGGUAAGCGGAAUUCCUAGUGUAGCGGUGAAAUGCGUAGAUAUUAGGAGGAGCACCAGUGGCGAAGGCGGCUUACUGGACGAUGACUGACGCUGAGGCUCGAAAGCGUGGAGAGCAAACAGG